UUUAGUAAAGCAAUUAAUUGCAAUAAGUUUCGACCUUAUAAUUUCAAAUAAAAUUUUGUACUUAAA
Molecule: transfer RNA, 66 nt
Filed under: Arion ater rufus
Lineage: Eukaryota; Metazoa; Mollusca; Gastropoda; Stylommatophora; Arionidae
Description: tRNA-Arg
Source: RNAcentral